GUAAGUUUCCUGAGGACUCCCCAGCCAUGUGGAACUGCCAAAUGGAAAUGGAGCCUUUUAUGAAGUUUCCCUCUUUUUAAGCUGGAAAGUUGGCAGCGACGUGGUUUCGAAGCUACCUCGGAAGCAAAUGUUUCCCAGCACUGUCCCCUUCUAGAAAGACCUUGUAUGAGAACCUUAUCUUUGCACGGAGUGUGGAGACCGCUGUUAGGGCAGACGGGAUGGAUUUGACCAACACCCAGGUCACAAACCAGUGAUGACGGAGAGACGAAUUCCGUGAGUUAGCCAGGGCACGGUGGGACAGAGGGAGCCUGGCUCCUUACUUACAACAGCUUCUUGGAGCAAGGAAUCUUGGACAAAAAAAAUAAAAGCACUAGGUCGGUUCAAGGCUAUUUGUUCGACUCUGCAUCUAACUCUGUUCUGGGUUCCAGAGACACCAACGUACACAAGAUUCACUCCUUAUGUCCCAGGAGCCCAUGGUCUACCUAGGAAGGCCGAGAGGGGAAGGAAGACCUCUUCUGGGAGGUCUUCUGUUCUGGGAGGCUGAAUCACUGAGCUGUGGGCAGGCACCUGAGGAGAGCAAAGCCAGGGCAGACCCCAGGGAGGGGAACUGAGCUGAGCCUGGCAAGACGAACCCCAGCUUGCCCUCCUCCAUGGAGAGUGGUGAGGAGGCCCACAAAGGGCCUAGAAAUGUUCAUCAUGGAGCUUGGGAGAGAAGGAGAGAGGGGCCACUCAAACUGUGUAUGCCGGUAUCGCCAUUAUAAUUGCCUACACUUUACAAAAAGGCAAAACUGUACAAAACUGUCACUUUCUGAAAAGGAGACAGAAUUCAGAGGUGGGGAUUCCACCCAAGUACGGUCAGGCUCAGCUGCUGGUGGGAAGCCUCUCCAAAAUGAGUUUAAGGCCACAGGCCUUGGAUGCUGGGCAGAGAGCAGAGACUGCUGGGCACCCCGGUGCCACAGGAUACAGGAAGAUUCUCCCCCGACAGCCCCUUCCACGAACACCCUGGCACCUGCCCUGCAUGGUCCUGCUUCUGGGAACUUUUUUUUUAUUUUUGAGAUGGAGUCCCACUCUUGUCGCCCAGGCAGUGGCACUGUCUCGGCUCACUGCAACCUCUGCCUCCUGGGUUCAAGCAUUUCUCCUGCCUCAGCCUCCCAAGUAGCUGGGAUUAGAGGUGCCCCCCAUCACACUCAUGUGUCUCUGUGUUGUCAUUUAACAUCAGUGCAAGGCCUCUGAUCAGCUAUAUUGAAAUAAUAUAUUACAUAUAAUAAUAUUGAAAUAGUUAUCAUGGGAAUAUAGAAAAUCACUUGUCUUCUUAAUCAAAGGUUUAAAGUGCUUUUGGAAUUAUUUUGAUAAGUGUUCUUUUCACCGGUUUCAGAGUCU
Molecule: long non-coding RNA, 1380 nt
Organism: Chlorocebus sabaeus (green monkey)
Lineage: Eukaryota; Metazoa; Chordata; Mammalia; Primates; Cercopithecidae
Source: RefSeq, a predicted model, not a curated record